This 678-nucleotide ribosomal RNA is filed under the name Escherichia coli. RNAcentral describes it as "partial 23S ribosomal RNA". It matches the Rfam family "Bacterial large subunit ribosomal RNA", at positions 562 to 1239 of the family's 2925-position model. The record is from RNAcentral. Lineage: Bacteria; Pseudomonadati; Pseudomonadota; Gammaproteobacteria; Enterobacterales; Enterobacteriaceae.
ACGUACAAGCAGUGGGAGCACAGAGCAAUCUGUGUGACUGCGUACCUUUUGUAUAAUGGGUCAGCGACUUAUAUUCUGUAGCAAGGUUAACCGAAUAGGGGAGCCGAAGGGAAACCGAGUCUUAACUGGGCGUUAAGUUGCAGGGUAUAGACCCGAAACCCGGUGAUCUAGCCAUGGGCAGGUUGAAGGUUGGGUAACACUAACUGGAGGACCGAACCGACUAAUGUUGAAAAAUUAGCGGAUGACUUGUGGCUGGGGGUGAAAGGCCAAUCAAACCGGGAGAUAGCUGGUUCUCCCCGAAAGCUAUUUAGGUAGCGCCUCGUGAAUUCAUCUCCGGGGGUAGAGCACUGUUUCGGCAAGGGGGUCAUCCCGACUUACCAACCCGAUGCAAACUGCGAAUACCGGAGAAUGUUAUCACGGGAGACACACGGCGGGUGCUAACGUCCGUCGUGAAGAGGGAAACAACCCAGACCGCCAGCUAAGGUCCCAAAGUCAUGGUUAAGUGGGAAACGAUGUGGGAAGGCCCAGACAGCCAGGAUGUUGGCUUAGAAGCAGCCAUCAUUUAAAGAAAGCGUAAUAGCUCACUGGUCGAGUCGGCCUGCGCGGAAGAUGUAACGGGGCUAAACCAUGCACCGAAGCUGCGGCAGCGACACUGUGUGUUGUUGGGUAGGGGAGCGU